RNAcentral lists this ribosomal RNA (328 nucleotides) under uncultured Actinomyces AM3. RNAcentral describes it as "bacterial SSU rRNA". It matches the Rfam family "Bacterial small subunit ribosomal RNA", at positions 23 to 344 of the family's 1533-position model. The record is from RNAcentral. Lineage: Bacteria; Bacillati; Actinomycetota; Actinomycetes; Actinomycetales; Actinomycetaceae.
CUCAGGACGAACGCUGGCGGCGUGCUUAACACAUGCAAGUGGAGCGACGAAGCGGACUUCGGUCCGUGGCAGAGCCGCGAACGGGUGAGUAACACGUGGGUAACCCACCCCGAUGACCGGGACAACCCGAGGAAACUCGAGCUAAUACCGGAUGUUCUCCUUUCUCGUAAGGGAAAUGAGCAAAGAUAGCUUCGGCCUUCGCAUCGGGACGGGCCCGCGGCCCAUUAGCUUGUUGGUGGGGUAACGGCCUACCAAGGCGACGAUGGGUAGCUGGUCUGAGAGGACGAUCAGCCACACUGGGACUGAGACACGGCCCAGACUCCUACGG